GCCCAGAGUCUGAAUCAGCUUGUGUGUUAGUGGAACGGUCUGGAAAGUCCGACGGUACAGGGUGAUAGUCCCGUACACCAAAAUGCACAGGUUGUGAACUCGAAGAGUAGGGCGGGACACGUGGUAUCCUGUCUGAAUAUGGGGGGACCAUCCUCCAAGGCUAAAUACUCCUGACUGACCGAUAGUGAACCAGUACCGUGAGGGAAAGGCGAAAAGAACCCCGGCGAGGGGAGUGAAAAAGAACCUGAAACCGUGUACGUACAAGCAGUGGGAGCACCUUCGGGUGUGACUGCGUACCUUUUGUAUAAUGGGUCAGCGACUUAUAUUCUGUAGCAAGGUUAACCGUAUAGGGGAGCCGCAGGGAAACCGAGUCUUAACUGGGCGUUAAGUUGCAGGGUAUAGACCCGAAACCCGGUGAUCUAGCCAUGGGCAGGUUGAAGGUUGGGUAACACUAACUGGAGGACCGAACCGACUAAUGUUGAAAAAUUAGCGGAUGACUUGUGGCUGGGGGUGAAAGGCCAAUCAAACCGGGAGAUAGCUGGUUCUCCCCGAAAGCUAUUUAGGUAGCGCCUCGUGAACUCAUCUUCGGGGGUAGAGCACUGUUUCGGCUAGGGGGUCAUCCCGACUUACCAACCCGAUGCAAACUACGAAUACCGAAGAAUGUUAUCACGGGAGACACACGGCGGGUGCUAACGUCCGUCGUGAAGAGGGAAACAACCCAGACCGCCAGCUAAGGUCCCAAAGUCAUGGUUAAGUGGGAAACGAUGUGGGAAGGCACAGACAGCCAGGAUGUUGGCUUAGAAGCAGCCAUCAUUUAAAGAAAGCGUAAUAGCUCACUGGUCGAGUCGGCCUGCGCGGAAGAUGUAACGGGGCUAAACC
Molecule: ribosomal RNA, 879 nt
Filed under: Klebsiella pneumoniae
Lineage: Bacteria; Pseudomonadati; Pseudomonadota; Gammaproteobacteria; Enterobacterales; Enterobacteriaceae
Description: partial 23S ribosomal RNA
Rfam family: Bacterial large subunit ribosomal RNA
Source: RNAcentral